GAACGCUGGCGGCGUGCCUAACACAUGCAAGUCGAACGCUUCACUUCGGUGAAGAGUGGCGAACGGGUGAGUAAUACAUAAGUAACCUGGCAUCUACAGGGGGAUAACUGAUGGAAACGUCAGCUAAGACCGCAUAGGUGUAGAGAUCGCAUGAACUCUAUAUGAAAAGUGCUACGGGACUGGUAGAUGAUGGACUUAUGGCGCAUUAGCUUGUUGGUAGGGUAACGGCCUACCAAGGCGACGAUGCGUAGCCGACCUGAGAGGGUGACCGGCCACACUGGGACUGAGACACGGCCCAGACUCCUACGGGAGGCAGCAGUAGGGAAUUUUCGGCAAUGGGGGAAACCCUGACCGAGCAACGCCGCGUGAAGGAAGAAGUAAUUCGUUAUGUAAACUUCUGUCAUAGAGGAAGAACGGUGGAUAUAGGGAAUGAUAUCCAAGUGACGGUACUCUAUAAGAAAGCCACGGCUAACUACGUGCCAGCAGCCGCGGUAAUACGUAGGUGGCGAGCGUUAUCCGGAAUUAUUGGGCGUAAAGAGGGAGCAGGCGGCACUAAGGGUCUGUGGUGAAAGAUCGAAGCUUAACUUCGGUAAGCCAUUGGAAACCGUAGAGCUAGAGUGUGUGAGAGGAUCGUGGAAUUCCAUGUGUAGCGGUGAAAUGCGUAGAUAUAUGGAGGAACACCAGUGGCGAAGGCGACGAUCUGGCGCAUAACUGACGCUCAGUCCCGAAAGCGUGGGGAGCAAAUAGGAUUAGAUACCCUAGUAGUCCACGCCGUAAACGAUGAGUACUAAGUGUUGGGUGUCAAAGCUCAGUGCUGCAGUUAACGCAAUAAGUACUCCGCCUGAGU
Molecule: ribosomal RNA, 847 nt
Filed under: human gut metagenome
Description: bacterial SSU rRNA
Rfam family: Bacterial small subunit ribosomal RNA
Source: RNAcentral